Long non-coding RNA from Zonotrichia leucophrys gambelii, 437 nucleotides. RefSeq lists it as uncharacterized. The transcript has 2 exons. NCBI's taxonomy places the organism in Eukaryota, Metazoa, Chordata, Aves, Passeriformes, Passerellidae. The record is from RefSeq and is a predicted model, not a curated record.
CCGUUUUUCCCCGAAUUUUUUGGAUUUUUCCCAAACUCUCCCUUUUUCUCCCCAAAAGGUGAUCCCCAAGAGGACCAACCGGCCCGGCAUCAGCAGCACCGACCGCGGAUUCCCCCGGGGGCGUUUCCGGGGGCGGGGGGGGGGAUUCGGCUCCGCCCGCUCGCGCUUCUACAGCGGCUACGCCCGGCCCCGCGCCCGGGGAUACAGGGGCCGAUCCAGAGCCACCUCCUGGUAUUCCCCAUAUUAAACAAAAAAAUCCCAAAUUUUCCCUUUUUUCCCCCCAAAAAAAAAUCCCAAAAAAAAUUGGAGGGUGGGGGGAGGGGCCCCACAAGCCCCGCCCCCACCCCAGGCCACGCCCCCUUCCCAAAAAAAAAAAAAAAUCCCAAAUUUUUAUUUUUUUUUCCCCAAAAAUUCCAAGUUUGUUUUUUGCAGGUGGA